AUUGAACGCUGGCGGCAUGCCUUACACAUGCAAGUCGAACGGCAGCGCGGGGCAACCUGGCGGCGAGUGGCGAACGGGUGAGUAAUAUAUCGGAACGUGCCCUGGAGUGGGGGAUAACGCAGCGAAAGUUGCGCUAAUACCGCAUACGAUCUAAGGAUGAAAGCAGGGGACCGCAAGGCCUUGUGCUCCUGGAGCGGCCGAUAUCUGAUUAGCUAGNGGUGGGGUAAAGGCCUACCAAGGCAUCGAUCAGUAGCUGGUCUGAGAGGACGACCAGCCACACUGGAACUGAGACACGGUCCAGACUCCUACGGGAGGCAGCAGUGGGGAAUUUUGGACAAUGGGCGCAAGCCUGAUCCAGCAAUGCCGCGUGAGUGAAGAAGGCCUGGUUGU
Molecule: ribosomal RNA, 390 nt
Filed under: uncultured bacterium
Lineage: Bacteria
Description: bacterial SSU rRNA
Rfam family: Bacterial small subunit ribosomal RNA
Source: RNAcentral